UAUAAUAAUUAUCUACAUUUCUUUCUUAAGAAUGAAUUCAUUUAUAUUUUAAUUAAGCUACAUCGAAGUCUAAAGUUAUCUGACAAAUCAUUACUCGAUAUCAGCUAAAUCCUUCAACUUCGGUCACAUAGUAUCUGUAGCUUAUCUAAUAACGAUACUUAUUCGGAUUCUAUCAAAAUCGAUGACAUUAGAGCAGAUGUCAACCAUUGUCAGCAUCGAUUUCUUUUCGCGAAAGAAGAGAGAAUUUCCAUGGUAUCUAAUCAGUGGGCGUACUGCGGGUUUCCUAUUGGUGUGUGGGCGUUAUCACGAUACCCGAUUGGUCGGUCGGUUUUCUAUAGCAAACUUCCUAUGUGCAUGCGCAUGGACUUAUCCUUUGCGGAACUUUAUUAAUUUUGAGAUUACGUACACAUACGCUCGAUAACGUUUGCCGUAAUUAAGUAUGCUUCGAUUGAAAUCAAACUCCAUUUAAUAUUCCUUUAUAUAAUUCGCCACAAACAUUUGCAAAUAUAAAAUUGUAUGAUUGUUUUUACGUAAUAAAAAUCCGUGAUAAAUUUUUUACGAUUUAUUAUAUCGAAUGAUAAUUCCGAUAAUAACGAUUUAAUUUUUCGCAAAUAAUAUCUAAAAGAAUGAAUCGAAUAAGAUUUUUCGUAAAGACGUCCUUCGUUAAUUCGUAAAAUCCCGAUUACGGAUAUACUUAAGUCCCACCAUUGAUCACGACCCAACACCCCGAAGACAGAUUAAAUGAAUGUCCGCGGAAUAAUGGAACGAUAAAAAAAGGAAUGUAAAAUUAUCAUCCUCCUUGACUUCUUUCAUUCCGAAGAAAUAAGAACGAGAACCUAAUCUAGAAUGGAGGCCAGUAAUGUAGUAAUUAGGUAUAUUGACGUACACGUAUUAUUGAAAAUUCGAUCGGAACUUCAUUGAGACGAAAAGAUGGACCCAAAGUGACCUGUACGUUUAUGAGAAGAGAAAAAUUUACUCUCGAGUAGGUGUACAAAGAUCGUAAACGUCCGGAUAAGCGUGCGACUCGAUAAAACCCACGGAAAAUAAACGUAACGCGUAAUUCAUACCAACAAGCUCAUCCUGUAGGUGUAGACGAGCGUGAAAAGCUUCGAAGAAACUUUCGCAAACGUAUCUUCCUCUUUUCGAACGUUGAGAUGACCAAAUGAAGAAAAUCGAAAGAGCCGGACUUUUAUUCCUAUCUUAAUAACUAAAUAACUGAAAAAAUGUUACUAGAAAAAAAAGUGAACUUAUCGAGCUUAAAUAAAUGAAAUCAAUAAAGCUAUGUAUAGAUGUGUAAUUGAAUAAAUAAACGAAUCAUUCGUUCGUAAAAAAUAAAUAAAAUCUAUAAGCUAUGUACAGAUAUGUAUUUAAACAAAUAAAUGAAUCUUUCAUUUGAAAAAUAAUAUAUCUAAUUCGAAGUUUAGGAUCGUACUCGCUUAUUCUCGCUUAUCACCAACCGCAUCUUAUUUCGAUCCUAAAUUAAGAAAUAGUCGGCUUUUCUUCCUGCCUG
This is a long non-coding RNA of Vespa velutina, 1510 nucleotides long. RefSeq lists it as uncharacterized. Lineage: Eukaryota; Metazoa; Arthropoda; Insecta; Hymenoptera; Vespidae. The record is from RefSeq and is a predicted model, not a curated record. The transcript has 3 exons.